This 253-nucleotide ribosomal RNA is filed under the name uncultured bacterium. RNAcentral describes it as "partial 16S ribosomal RNA". It matches the Rfam family "Bacterial small subunit ribosomal RNA", at positions 524 to 776 of the family's 1533-position model. The record is from RNAcentral.
UACGAAGGGGGCUAGCGUUGCUCGGAAUCACUGGGCGUAAAGGGUGCGUAGGCGGGUCUUUAAGUCAGGGGUGAAAUCCUGGAGCUCAACUCCAGAACUGCCUUUGAUACUGAAGAUCUUGAGUUCGGGAGAGGUGAGUGGAAUUCCGAGUGUAGAGGUGAAAUUCGUAGAUAUUCGCAAGAACACCAGUGGCGAAGGCGGCUCACUGGCCCGGUACUGACGCUGAGGUGCGAAAGCGUGGGGAGCAAACAGG